RNAcentral lists this ribosomal RNA (921 nucleotides) under uncultured bacterium. RNAcentral describes it as "bacterial SSU rRNA". It matches the Rfam family "Bacterial small subunit ribosomal RNA", at positions 9 to 927 of the family's 1533-position model. The record is from RNAcentral.
GAGUUUGAUCCUGGCUCGUAUUGAACGCUGGCGGCAUGCCUUACACAUGCAAGUCGAACGGCAGCACGGGAGCAAUCCUGGUGGCGAGUGGCGAACGGGUGAGUAAUAUAUCGGAACGUGCCCAGUCGUGGGGGAUAACGCAUAGAAAGCUGUGCUAAUACCGCAUACGAUCUAUGGAUGAAAGCGGGGGACCGUAAGGCCUCGCGCGAUUGGAGCGGCCGAUAUCAGAUUAGCUUGUUGGUGGGGUAAAAGCCCACCAAGGCGACGACCUGUAGCUGGUCUGAGAGGACGACCAGCCACACUGGAACUGAGACACGGUCCAGACUCCUACGGGAGGCAGCAGUGGGGAAUUUUGGACAAUGGGCGCAAGCCUGAUCCAGCAAUGCCGCGUGCAGGAUGAAGGCCUUCGGGUUGUAAACUGCUUUUGUACGGAACGAAACGGCUCUUUCUAAUAAAGAGGGCUAAUGACGGUACCGUAAGAAUAAGCACCGGCUAACUACGUGCCAGCAGCCGCGGUAAUACGUAGGGUGCGAGCGUUAAUCGGAAUUACUGGGCGUAAAGCGUGCGCAGGCGGUUAUAUAAGACAGAUGUGAAAUCCCCGGGCUCAACCUGGGACCUGCAUUUGUGACUGUAUAGCUAGAGUACGGUAGAGGGGGAUGGAAUUCCGCGUGUAGCAGUGAAAUGCGUAGAUAUGCGGAGGAACACCGAUGGCGAAGGCAAUCCCCUGGACCUGUACUGACGCUCAUGCACGAAAGCGUGGGGAGCAAACAGGAUUAGAUACCCUGGUAGUCCACGCCCUAAACGAUGUCAACUGGUUGUUGGGUCUUCACUGACUCAGUAACGAAGCUAACGCGUGAAGUUGACCGCCUGGGGAGUACGGCCGCAAGGUUGAAACUCAANGAAUUGACGGGGACCCGCACA